UUAAUAAAGUCAAUUGGGUACUAGUUAUAACUAAUGAAAAAUAGGACUUGUUAAAACGUCAAAAUUCUUCCCCUAGGUUUGCUCUGUUCCGAAAACAAGGCAUCAGCUCACUACUACAAUGGCUACUUCAGCUUCUGUAAAGCAGAUUUUGGGCGAUCUAAACAAGGAUUCAUUCGUAACCCUUUUGGGGAAACUGAUCGGCGAGUCUAAAUAUGUACAGAACAAUCCGCCGGAGCUUAUCCCGGAGGAAGACAGGAUUGUGAAUCACGUUCUUGAUACGCUUCUUCCUUAUAGCACCACCACCGGCGGCGGACCACUGAUCAUCAAUCAUGUUACUUAUAAGCCUAAUAGGGGUAAUCUUAUUGUGGAGUACCCGGGUACUCAGCCCGGAAAAAUCUUGUCUUUUGUUGGAAUGCAUAUGGAUGUUGUCACUGCCAACCCUGAUGAUUGGGAAUUUGAUCCCUUUUCAUUGAGCAUCGAUGGUGAUAAACUUCGAGGACGUGGAACUACUGAUUGUUUAGGUCACGUGGCUCUUGUAUCCGAGCUUAUGAGGCGUCUUGGAGAGACAAAGCCACAGUUGAAAUCCACGGUGGUUGCUGUUUUCAUAGCCAGUGAAGAGAACUCAUCUAUCCCUGGGGUUGGUGUCGAUGCAUUAGUGAAGGAUGGAUUGCUUGAUAAGUUAAAGCAAGGCCCUCUAUUCUGGAUUGACACAGCAGAUAAACAACCAUGCAUUGGUACUGGUGGCAGUAUACCGUGGAAACUUCAUGUAACCGGAAAGCUUUUCCACAGUGGUCUUCCCCACAAGGCUAUCAAUCCUCUGGAGCUUGCUAUGGAAGCACUCAAAGAAAUUCAGUCCCGCUUCUAUAUAGAUUUCCCUGCGCAUCCUAAAGAACAAGUCUAUGAAUUUGCUACACCAUCAACCAUGAAACCAACUCAGUGGUUUUAUCCUGGGGGUGGAAUCAACCAAAUUCCUGGUGAGUGCACUGUUUCUGGAGAUGUUAGGUUGACUCCAUUUUACAAUGUAUCAGAUGCUAUGAAGAAAUUACAAGAAUAUGUUGAUGACUUGAAUGCCAACAUUGAAAAACUUGAUGGUCGAGGCCCUGUUUCAAAAUAUGUUCUGCCAGAUGAGAACUUAAGGGGAAGAAUCACUAUAAGUUUCGACGAAGCUUCGUCUGGAGUUGCUUGUGAUCUCAAUUCUCGGGGAUUUCAUGUACUAUGCAAAGCUACCAAAGAGGAAGUUGGGCAUGUAAAACCAUAUUCUAUAACCGGUACUUUGCCAUUGAUAAGAGAUCUACAGGAUGAGGGUUUUGAUGUUCAAACUUCUGGCUACGGCUUAAUGGCUACAUACCAUGCAAAGAAUGAAUACUGUCUACUGUCUGACAUGUGCCAAGGUUACCGGGUCUUUGCAAGCAUCAUCGCACAGUUGGAAGAUUGAUAUAUAUGAGGUCCGAACGUCCAGCAUCCAUCUCGAUGUUAGUACGAUCCCUGGCCAGCUUAGUUGCAUUUUCGUGAGUCUUCAUCUUUCGAGGACAACCUCUAUGUUUUGAUUUCAGUUGUUUAUGUCUUUAGUUUUCAGACAUCUAGAGUUAGCUGAGGGCUUGUCCCAGCAACUCAUCUUAAUAAAGGUUUUCAUACAUCUAGAGUUAGCUGAGGGCUUGUUCCAGCAACUCAUCUUAAUAAAGGUUUUCGACAUCUAGAGUUAGCUGAGGGCUUGUCCCAGCAACUCAUCUUAAUAAAGGUUAGCUGAGGGCUUGUCGCAGCAACUCAUCUUAAUAAAGGUUUUCAUACAUCUAGAGUUAGCUGAGGGCUUGUCCCAGCAACUCAUCUUAAUAAAGGUUUUCAUACAUCUAGAGUUAGCUGAGGGCUUGUCCCAGCAACUCAUCUUAAUAAAGGUUAGCUGAGGGCUUGUCGCAGCAACUCAUCUUGAAUAAAGGCUUUUAGACAGCCAGUCACACAUUAUUAUCAGCUU
Molecule: RNA transcript, 1969 nt
Organism: Solanum tuberosum (potato)
Lineage: Eukaryota; Viridiplantae; Streptophyta; Magnoliopsida; Solanales; Solanaceae
Gene name: acetylornithine deacetylase
Exons: 12
Source: RefSeq, a predicted model, not a curated record